RNA transcript from Oryza sativa Japonica Group (Japanese rice), 2907 nucleotides. It is a transcript of the gene named putative protease Do-like 14, with no coding region annotated. The record is from RefSeq and is a predicted model, not a curated record. NCBI's taxonomy places the organism in Eukaryota, Viridiplantae, Streptophyta, Magnoliopsida, Poales, Poaceae.
GGGGCGGUAAGCCUAUAGGCCCAAUAGUCCGGUACCCUGCGCCGCUCGCGCGGCCCGCCUGAGGACCUGUGGAACCCGAGGCGACACCUCCGCUGCUCCGCCGCCACUCGAGCGGCGGCGAUGCCACCCAAACUGCGGAAGAGGUCGACGGGGGCGGCGGCACGAUCCCCCGCCACGAAUGGAGAAGAAGGCCAUACUGGCUCUAAAUCAUCGGAAACGAGUCCGGCUGCUAGCGGAAGGUGGACACGAGCUCGAGCGAGGGAUCUAGGGUUCGAUACUACCGACCACCCUAGAGUGUCGGAUUCUGCUGGCGGCGGGGGCAGGACUGACCGCAAAGCGCCGGCAGGAGCGGCUCCGAAGAAGAGAAAGGGCGUAUCGGCGUCGACGUCGGCAGGUCCGGUUCCGAGGAAGACAACGGCGGCGGGCAGGAAAAGAAGAAACCCGCCUUGUCCCAGCUUACCGCCGGGGCAAUGCACCAAACUCGACCAACGAGAUAUCCCCACUCUCAGGGAUGAGCCUAGGGAUCCCCUCACCGCUGAUGCCGUGGUCAGUUCGCAAGACAAGGCCAUGGUGCUACGCGUGGCUCGCUCCGUUGUCAGUGUUUCAUCCAUAACGCCUGAUGGGGGAUUGAUUUUCCAGUGCACUGGCAUCGUCUUUGGUUGGGAUGGGGCUAACAAGUGCGCCAAGAUCCUGACCUCUUCUUCUGUCGUCUGUGACUUCAAGGGUGAAUUACAUGACCCAACACUCAAGCUAUCUGUUCAUCUGCCAGAUAACACUAUCACAGAAGGACGGUUGUUGUCCUUCAAUGUUCACUAUGAUGUUGCUCUUUUAGAGGUCAUGGGAGACUUCCAGUUGCAGGUCCCUUCUUUUGGCUCGAGUACAACCUAUGGUCAGGACGUAUUUGCAUUGGCUAGGGAUGAAAACAUGUGCUUAAUGGUUAGGCAUGGAAAAAUCUCAUGGCUGGAAUGUCCCAUGUUAUUGAACAACCACUAUAUGUUUCUGAGUUGUGAUAUUCCUGAGGGUGGUUCAGGAGGGCCAGUGAUUGACCAUGAUGGUAAUAUCAUUGGGAUUGUAUUUGACAAUAACCCGGGUCCGGUAGUAACCUCUAUCACUACAAUCAGAACUUGCGUUGAGAUGUGGCAUCAGUUUAGCCGUGUUGCUCGCCCCAUACUUGGCAUGCAAUUGAAGGCGGUGGAACUACUGGAUGUCUCUAAACUGGAGGAACUCUGUCUUGACAACAAUAUCACCAGCGGUUUCAUUGUGAAUCUGGUGAAAGUUGAUUCUAUUGCGGAGAGGCUUGGUAUUAGACGAGGGGAUGUGAUUGUUUUUCAGGAUAGUUGUUGUUCUACUUUACCUCAGUUAGAAGACUACCUUCUUUCUCUUGGCUGGGGAUACCUGCAGGGGAAAAGUUUGACAGUAGAUCUCAAGUCCUAAUCUGGAAGCAUCAAGGGAGAAGACGCUACCAUCAAACCGAAUUAGAGAGAGAGAAGAAAGUGAGCAUGAACCAUAAACAAGUGUGAAUGAUUCAAGUAAACAAGAUAUAUUCAUCCACCAGAUACUUCCAUCACAUUGCGCAUGUGCAUAUCAAGACCAAGAGGUACCUCAUUGCUUGUGGCCUGCUGGUAUGGGUGUCUCACCCAGGCCAGUGCGGGCGCGAUGGCCGCUGUCGAGGUUGGAAAUGGCGUGGGUAGACAGGGGCACAGGGCACGGCGUUGCAAAUAGAGGUCAGGGGCGAGACGGCCGAGAAGAUGUGGUGCUCCAAUCCAAUCAUUACGCCGGCCACCACGCCGUCAUCAACUCCGCUCCGUCGCAGCCCGGCGUGGACGCGCCGCCUCUGCCGAGCCCCUCGGUUGAAGUUCAUAAUCUUGUUGACUCAUUUAGGGAAAACAUUACUUUCCCUGUACAAUUCUCUGAUGCUUCUAAGUGGGUUGAUUGAGGGUGACUUAAAAAGGUGCUGCAUUGUCACCUAGUAAUAUGACUGACCAUGGAGGAUAUGUGACAUUAUCGAAGAAUGUGCAAUCCUUGUUUAAUGAAAUGGCAGUCUUCUAAACCUAUAUGUUGACAAGCUACUAGCAAUAGCUCUAUAUAUGACACAAAAUUUGACAAUUUCACCCGUUCCGAAAACUAAUUUCGCAAAUGAACCGCGGCCAAAAUUUAUUUCAAAAAUGUCCCUUUUGUUUAGCGCCAAAUCAUAUGGCGUUGAACCUAAACACCUCAGCACCACGUCAACUGGCGCUGAUUACAGUGCCACCGUGGAUGGGAGGCUGAGUCGGCGUGCCAACGUGCAUUCAGCGCCGUGCUAUUUGGCGCUGAUAUGUCUAAGUUCAGUGUCAUACGAUAUGGCGCUGAACAAAAGAGUCAUUUUUAAAAUAAGUUUUAGCCGCGGUUCAUUUGCGAAACUAGUUUUCGGAAAGGGUCAAAUUGUCAAAUUAAGUGCUAUAUAUGAAGUUAAAACUAAAUUCCUAGUUCCUCCCUUUCCUUGUUACCAUCAUUGCCCAAAGAUUAAAAAAAAGGCUAAAUGUGACGACAUUUUUUCAUGACAAGCGGAAGAAAUGGGCACGCCUUUUGCAUCAAUGAUUGUGUUCGGAGAGGCAUCUUUUUAUGGAAUGACGUUCAUUAGCUCAGGCAUGUAGAAGUAUGCAGCUGCUGCCUAGUAAUUUUGUUAGGGUGUUUGUACUCACACGUCCAUUUCAAUUUCUACCGUUGACAUGUUACAUAUCUCAUUAUUAGAAGUACAGUACUUAUGUACAUUGUACACCGGACUGGAGGUCUUGGAUCUCCCACUCUCUCUAGUGUAGCAAGGUAUGUACGCAUGUGUCCAUCAGUCCAUGUAGUGUGGGUGGGCUAUGUAUGUGUCAUCAGUAUUAAAAACCAGUAACGGCAUAUAUACCAGUCGGGGCUGUUUUA